AAGAUGGAGGAAAGCCAGGGAGCAGCUCUUGCAAAACCCUUCUGAGGGGAAAGGAAGGAUGUGUGAGGGAAAACACUGCUCUGGCUGCCAGUCGUUCUUGCCAGAACAGCUCAGCUGCUGGUGAGAGUGUGCUGGAUUGGGGGUGCCAGCCUGUGCCCCAAUGUUGAGUGUAGGGGAACUCAGAUGAAGUUAUAUAACCUGCCCUGGGGGCUCCUGCACAGAUAAGCUGGCAGAGGCCACUGGUGGUUCCUGACAAUUUCUGGAAUAGCCUUGACCGGAGGAGACACAAAAGAAGUAGAGAGCGACCUUUGCUUUCAAGGAGAUUAUGAUUCAAUUUUGAAAGAGAAUGCAAAAGUCCACAACGCUCAUCCUCAUCUUCUUCAGGAAUCACAAGUUCAGUGCAUUAAGAAAGACAAAGGUGAAGAGCGAUGUCAGCAACAUGAUGGAGUGAGCUGUUCCCUUUGUCUCUCCCCCUUCAAACUACAACUAAAUGGACAUUCAUUGAUCAGGGGAGAAUACCCACACAGCACAUCAGGGUUCCUGAGAGACCCACGCAGCUAUACAUCUGAAGGUGGGUGGACUACCUCAAGGGUGAUGGUGGUGGAGAUAGGUGAGCACCCUCUGACCCCCAGGCAGCCCUGUAUACACGUGUGACUGCUUUCCCAGCUGGAGUGCCCAUAGUGCCACUGAGACCUUGAGGGUGGGAGCGUGCCUUGGGGUACUACAGCCUCGAGGCCCUGCAUGAUUGCUUUCUCAUCCAGUGGGAGAGCCCACAGUGCUGCUGUGGUCCCCAAGGAGUGGCCCAGGCUCAGACCCAGUGGGGAGGCUUUGCCCACCAAUCACAGUGGCUGUUAUGACCUAGGAGGAGACACUGGUGGAUCUGUGGGCCCAGGAAAAUGAAUCCCAGCUGCUGCGAUUGCCCAUAGUACCACUGUGGCCUGAUGGGGG
RNAcentral lists this long non-coding RNA (948 nucleotides) under Equus caballus (horse). RNAcentral's name for it is "lncRNA (ENSECAG00000058771.1)". The record is from RNAcentral. Lineage: Eukaryota; Metazoa; Chordata; Mammalia; Perissodactyla; Equidae.